AAUUCUCUUUAAGCUCUCUCUCUCUCUCUCUCUCUCUCUGUGAUCGGUUUCUCAUCGAUGUCAAUAAUCAUCUAACUUAAAACCCCAAAACAAAUCCAGUUUAAAAUAUCGAUUUAUGUUCAUCAAAGUUGUUCAAUUUGUUAGUCGAUCUAUCUACUCAAGAUCUUUUGUCAGGGAGAGUAGUUCAGCCAUCACCUUUACCGAUCAUUGACAUGCAAUCAAAUAAAAUCGGCCAUCAUCUUAGUGUAGAAUAAGAUGCAGAUUACAAAAUCAAAUUUCCCUCUUGAGAGAGCACAAACCCGUAAAGGUAGUCAAACUCGAUCGAUUGGUUAAUCAAAUUUCCCUCUUCCUCUGCGUUCAGCGGUAUGAACACUGGUCAAGACCAAGAUGGCCACAUCACAAUAUGAAGAUAAGUUUUUGGUAUUUUAGUAAAUAUGAUAGAAUGAUAUGUUAUUGACAUAAGAAUUAGAAAACUUGUUUUCUUCUGGAUAGUUUCACUCUUUAUAGGUAUUUUUGAAUAAUUAAUAAGAUCUAUACUCAAGCAAUUGCCUUUAUGUAAGCUAAUCGUGUCUUUACUUGUCAACAAAUCAAACGCGAUAAACAAAUAAUUAUUUACUCAAACGUAAACGUCACUAUUUCAUAUUAUAAUAAUUGUAUACUUAAUAUUUGAAAGACUAAUUUGUCUAUUUCAUUAUACAGUGUAAAUUGCGAGAUUAUUCUGACAUAUAAUUGUAACUGUAUUUGUUUGGACAGGUCUAAAGAUGUGUUGGUUUAAGUACUAACCUUUCCAAUAUCUGAAUGUGUUCAACACUUAAAAGAUAAGUGUAUCUAUUUGGGAUGCCAUGCUUUUGCAUAUAUGACUGAGAUAACUGAAACAUAAUUAUACUUUCAUCUAAUUUAAAUCUACAGAUUAUUUAUAUGGUCUAUAUAAAACAAAUAAUGACUGACCAGAAACAAACACCAAUUCAAUAUCACAAAGUUAUUAAUUUUACAACAUUUGACAUGAGUAGUAUAAUGUCUAAAAGAUUUAACUUAUGCAUUGUUUUGUUUUCGUUUAAAAGAAGCUCAAUAUUUGAUAUAAAUGGAAUCUGUGGGUGAAAAUAACUUUUUUGGUCCAUACCGCUUCUAUGGGUGAAAGUAACAUGUCAUCGUUUUGGAAGCCAGAUGACUUUAUGACUGUCUGAUUGAUGAAAGUAAUCUUGUGCAUGUUUUUUGUUGGUCGAUAUUGUUUUCCAGCAGGACUCAUUUGGAAGUUCUCAACAGUCUUCCACUCACCUACAUUGCAUUCAAUAUCACAAAGUUAUUAAUUUUACAACAUUUGACAUGAGUAGUAUAAUGUCUAAAAGAUUUAACUUAUGCAUUGUUUUGUUUUCGUUUAAAAGAAGCUCAAUAUUUGAUAUAAAUGGAAUCUGUGGGUGAAAAUAACUUUUUUGGUCCAUACCGCUUCUAUGGGUGAAAGUAACAUGUCAUCGUUUUGGAAGCCAGAUGACUUUAUGACUGUCUGAUUGAUGAAAGUAAUCUUGUGCAUGUUUUUUGUUGGUCGAUAUUGUUUUCCAGCAGGACUCAUUUGGAAGUUCUCAACAGUCUUCCACUCACCUACAUUGCAUUCAAUAUCACAAAGUUAUUAAUUUUACAACAUUUGACAUGAGUAGUAUAAUGUCUAAAAGAUUUAACUUAUGCAUUGUUUUGUUUUCGUUUAAAAGAACCUCAAUAUUUGAUAUAAAUGGAAUCUGUGGGUGAAAAUAACUUUUUUGGUCCAUACCGCUUCUAUGGGUGAAAGUAACAUGUCAUCGUUUUGGAAGCCAGAUGACUUUAUGACUGUCUGAUUGAUGAAAGUAAUCUUGUGCAUAUUUUUUGUUGGUCGAUACUGUUUUCCAGGACUCAUUUGGAAGUUCUCAACAUUCUUCCACUCACCUACAUUGCGUUCUUCCCCCCCCCCCAAAAGACUUCAUGUAAUUCUUCUAACAGGAAAAUAACGUAGACUUUAAUUCAAUAUCUCAUUGAAAUUUCUUUUACCAAAUUGAGAAAAUAAACGCUAUAUUCAAAUUCACGUUUUAGUUU
This is a long non-coding RNA of Brassica oleracea var. oleracea, 2061 nucleotides long. RefSeq lists it as uncharacterized. The record is from RefSeq and is a predicted model, not a curated record. NCBI's taxonomy places the organism in Eukaryota, Viridiplantae, Streptophyta, Magnoliopsida, Brassicales, Brassicaceae. The transcript is spliced from 3 exons.